RNAcentral lists this ribosomal RNA (797 nucleotides) under Alteromonas macleodii. RNAcentral describes it as "bacterial SSU rRNA". It matches the Rfam family "Bacterial small subunit ribosomal RNA", at positions 83 to 882 of the family's 1533-position model. Lineage: Bacteria; Pseudomonadati; Pseudomonadota; Gammaproteobacteria; Alteromonadales; Alteromonadaceae. RNAcentral also lists the same sequence under 1 other name. The record is from RNAcentral.
AGAAGAUGACGAGUGGCGGACGGGUGAGUAAUGCUUGGGAACUUGCCUUUGCGAGGGGGAUAACAGUUGGAAACGACUGCUAAUACCGCAUAAUGUCUUCGGACCAAACGGGGCUUCGGCUCCGGCGCAAAGAGAGGCCCAAGUGAGAUUAGCUAGUUGGUAAGGUAACGGCUUACCAAGGCGACGAUCUCUAGCUGUUCUGAGAGGAAGAUCAGCCACACUGGGACUGAGACACGGCCCAGACUCCUACGGGAGGCAGCAGUGGGGAAUAUUGCACAAUGGGGGAAACCCUGAUGCAGCCAUGCCGCGUGUGUGAAGAAGGCCUUCGGGUUGUAAAGCACUUUCAGUUGUGAGGAAAAGUUAGUAGUUAAUACCUGCUAGCCGUGACGUUAACAACAGAAGAAGCACCGGCUAACUCCGUGCCAGCAGCCGCGGUAAUACGGAGGGUGCGAGCGUUAAUCGGAAUUACUGGGCGUAAAGCGCACGCAGGCGGUUUGUUAAGCUAGAUGUGAAAGCCCCGGGCUCAACCUGGGAUGGUCAUUUAGAACUGGCAGACUAGAGUCUUGGAGAGGGGAGUGGAAUUCCAGGUGUAGCGGUGAAAUGCGUAGAUAUCUGGAGGAACAUCAGUGGCGAAGGCGACUCCCUGGCCAAAGACUGACGCUCAUGUGCGAAAGUGUGGGUAGCGAACAGGAUUAGAUACCCUGGUAGUCCACACCGUAAACGCUGUCUACUAGCUGUGUGUGUCUUUAAGACGUGCGUAGCGAAGCUAACGCGCUAAGUAGACCGCCUGGGGAGUA